AUUUCUUACUGUCUUUAUUAUUGUAAGUAACGCCUGCUCAAUGAAUAUUCAAUAGCCGCGGAAAAUUAACCGUGCUAAGGUAGCAUAAUCACUAGCCUCUUAAUUGGAGGCUCGCAUGAACGACGAAACAUUUUAAUAACUUUUUUUUAUAGUUAUUUUUAAAUUUAGUUAAGAAUUAUAAUGUUCUUAUUCUAAAAAUAGACGACAAGACCCUAUUGAACUUUACUGAAGUUAAGCUGGGGCAGCUAAGAAAUUAUUAUCUUUCUUUUAUUAAGUAAAUAAAUGACCCAAUAUUUUUGAAUGUUUGAAUAAGUUACCAUAGGGAUAACAGCGUAAUAUUCUUUUAAAGCUCUUAUUAAAAAGGAAGUUUGCGACCUCGAUGUUGAAUUAAUUGUUACUUUAAAAACGCAGUAGUUUUAAAAGUAAGUCUGUUCGA
RNAcentral lists this ribosomal RNA (436 nucleotides) under Ocrepeira darlingtoni. Its description in RNAcentral is "partial large subunit ribosomal RNA". It matches the Rfam family "Bacterial large subunit ribosomal RNA", at positions 1828 to 2584 of the family's 2925-position model. The record is from RNAcentral. Lineage: Eukaryota; Metazoa; Arthropoda; Arachnida; Araneae; Araneidae.